CCGACACGGGGAGGUAGUGACGAAAAAUAACAAUACAGGACUCUAAACGAGGCCCUGUAAUUGGAAUGAGUACAUUCUAAACCCCUUAACGAGUAUCCAUUGGAGGGCAAGUCUGGUGCCAGCAGCCGCGGUAAUUCCAGCUCCAACAGUGUAUGCUAAAGUUGUUGCGGUUGAAAAGCUCGUAGUUGGAUCUUGGGUGGGUGCCGCCGGUCCGUCGCAAGGCGUGUCACUGGCGGCGCUCGCCUCGCCUUCGGUUCUCCGUCGGUGCUCUUGACUGAGUGUCGGCGGUGGCCGAUAAGUUUACUUUGAAAAAAUUAGAGUGUUCAAAGCAGGCUGUUCGCCUGCAUAGUGUUGCAUGGAAUAAUGGAAUAGGACCUCGGUUCUAUUUUGUUGGUUUUCGGAGCGCGAGGUAAUGAUUAAGAGGGACAGACGGGGGCGUCCGUACUCUGCCGUUAGAGGUGAAAUUCUUGGAUCGGCGGAAGACGAACUACUGCGAAAGCAUUCGCCAAGAAUGUUUUCUUUAAUCAAGAGCGAAAGUCAGAGGUUCGAAGACGAUCAGAUACCGUCCUAGUUCUGACUAUAAACGAUGCCAACUAGCGAUCGGGAGGCGUUACCAUGACGACCUUCCCGGCAGCUUCCGGGAAACCAAAGUCUUUGGGUUCCGGGGGAAGUAUGGUUGCAAAGCUGAAACUUAAAGGAAUUGACGGAAGGGCACCACCAGGAGUGGAGCCUGCGGCUUAAUUUGACUCAACACGGGGAAACUCACCCGGCCCGGACACAGGUAGGAU
RNAcentral lists this ribosomal RNA (788 nucleotides) under Pyura squamulosa. RNAcentral's name for it is "SSU rRNA". It matches the Rfam family "Eukaryotic small subunit ribosomal RNA", at positions 451 to 1240 of the family's 1831-position model. The record is from RNAcentral. Lineage: Eukaryota; Metazoa; Chordata; Ascidiacea; Stolidobranchia; Pyuridae.